This 1422-nucleotide ribosomal RNA is filed under the name uncultured bacterium. RNAcentral describes it as "bacterial SSU rRNA". It matches the Rfam family "Bacterial small subunit ribosomal RNA". The record is from RNAcentral.
AGUGGCGCACGGGUGCGUAACACGUAGGUGACCUACCUUUAAGUCGGGGACAACAUUGGGAAACCGAUGCUAAUACCGGAUGUGGAAAUUCAUUUUGAAUACGAAUUUCUAAAGAGGGCUUUUGCUCUUGCUUGAAGAAGGGCCUGCGGGACAUUAGCUUGAUGGUGGGGUAAUGGCCUACCAUGGCCGCGAUGUCUAGGGGGUCUGAGAGGAUGAUCCCCCACACUGGAACUGAGACACGGUCCAGGCUCCUACGGGAGGCAGCAGUAGGGAAUAUUGCGCAAUGGGCGAAAGCCUGACGCAGCAAUGCCGCGUGAGUGAGGAAUGCCUUAGGGUUGUAAAGCUCUGUCAUAUGGGAAGAACAAGAAUAGUGUUAAUACCACUAUUCCCUGACGGUACCAUAGAAGGAAGCACCGGCUAACUUCGUGCCAGCAGCCGCGGUAAUACGAAGGGUGCAAGCGUUGUUCGGAUUUAUUGGGCGUAAAGCGCGCGCAGGCGGAUGUGCAAGUCAGAUGUGAAAUCUCGGGGCCCAACCCCGAAACUGCGUCUGAAACUGCGUAUCUAGAAUCAUAUAGGGGGCAGGGGAAUUUCACAUGUAGGGGUAAAAUCCGUAGAGAUGUGAAGGAACACCGGAGGCGAAGGCGCCUGCCUGGAUAUGUAUUGACGCUGAGGCGCGAAAGCGUGGGUAGCAAACAGGAUUAGAUACCCUGGUAGUCCACGCCGUAAACGAUGAGCACUAGUUAUUGGAGGUAUUGACCCCUUCAGUGACGCAGCUAACGCAUUAAGUGCUCCGCCUGGGGAGUACGGUCGCAAGACUAAAACUCAAAGGAAUUGACGGGGGCCCGCACAAGCGGUGGAUUAUGUGGUUUAAUUCGAAGCAACGCGCAAAACCUUACCUAGACUUGAAAUCCUGUGAAUUUGGGGUAAUGCCCGAAGUGUCCGCAAGGAAACGCAGUGACAGGUGCUGCAUGGCUGUCGUCAGCUCGUGUUGUGAAAUGUUGGGUUAAGUCUCGCAACGAGCGCAACCCCUAUCCUUAGUUGCCAGCAUUUAGUUGGGCACUCUAGGGAGACUGCCUGGGCAACCAGGAGGAAGGUGGGGAUGACGUCAAGUCCUCAUGGCCCUUAUGUCUAGGGCUACACACGUAAUACAAUGGUGCAUACAAAGGGAAGCGACCCAGCGAUGGUGAGCAAAUCUCAAAAAGUGCAUCUCAGUCCGGAUUGAAGUCUGCAACUCGACUUCAUGAAGUUGGAAUCGCUAGUAAUCGUAGGUCAGCAUGCUACGGUGAAUCCGUUCCCGGGCCUUGUACACACCGCCCGUCACACCAUGGGAGUUGGUUCAAUCUUAAGACGUGACUCUAACCUUCGGGAAGGGAGCGUCUACGGUGGAACCGAUGACUGGGGUGAAGUCGUAACAAGGUAGCC